This 254-nucleotide ribosomal RNA is filed under the name uncultured bacterium. RNAcentral describes it as "partial 16S ribosomal RNA". It matches the Rfam family "Bacterial small subunit ribosomal RNA", at positions 524 to 776 of the family's 1533-position model. The record is from RNAcentral.
UACGAGAGGCCCAAACGUUAUUCGGAUUUACUGGGCUUAAAGAGUUCGUAGGCGGCUUGGAAAGUGGGGUGUGAAAGCCCUCGGCUUAACCGAGGAAUUGCGCUCCAAACUACCGAGCUUGAGUAGGCUAGAGGUGAGCAGAACUGAUGGUGGAGCGGUGAAAUGCGUAGAUAUCUGGAGGAACACCGGUGGCGAAGGCGGCAGCCUGGACCAACACUGACGCUGAGUGAGCGAAAGCCAGGGGAGCAAACGGG